GAGUAUACUAAGGCGUAGAGCUAAAAGUUGUUAAGGAACUCGGCAAAUUAUCCUGCCUUGUGCUUUGGGAAAGUACAUAGAUGGGUCAAACUAUCAAACUCCGGGGACACCCUAAAGCUUAUGAUACCAAACUAUAAUCGAAAGAUUAUAAGUGGCCAGAAUAAUUACCUGGGUAUGGUAAUAAGUCAUAAGAUAGAUGAAAAUCAAAUGGGCUAUCGCGGAUCUAAAUCAAAAUUUAUUACACAAACAAAUUUUGUAAAAGAGCAACGAGUAGACGGUAGUUGGAGCAUAGCUAAAAAUAAACACAUGCUCUUAAGGUGUACUCUAAUGGGUUUCGAAAGAAAUUAUCCAAUCAAAAUCCCUUCUAAACAAUUAAAUAAAUCAUUUUAUUCUACUUCGAAUUGUAAACUUAAAAUUAACCUUUGGUUUGUUAUAAAAUUUACAGAUGCAGAAGGUUGUUUUUCUAUUUCAAUAUAUAGUUAAUAUGUUUAAAAAUAAAUAAUAUUUAACUAGAGAUGUUUAAAUUUUUAAAUGUUAAAAUUGUUAAAAUGUUUUAAUGUUUAAAUCAGAAUACUAGAAAUAAAAUAAAUAAUGAAUAAUAAUAGAUCUUGGUAGAAUAAAUAUUUAUCUAAUUGCAUGAUAAAUUUGAUAGCCAUGCUAAAGUUCGACGACAAGAGGA
RNAcentral lists this non-coding RNA (679 nucleotides) under Suillus luteus. The record is from RNAcentral. Lineage: Eukaryota; Fungi; Basidiomycota; Agaricomycetes; Boletales; Suillaceae.